This 356-nucleotide transfer-messenger RNA is filed under the name pig gut metagenome. It matches the Rfam family "transfer-messenger RNA". Rfam says of the family: Bacterial tmRNA, also known as 10Sa RNA or SsrA, is named for its dual tRNA and mRNA-like properties. Its role is to liberate the mRNA from a stalled ribosome. To accomplish this part of the tmRNA is used as a reading frame that ends in a translation stop signal. The record is from RNAcentral.
GGGGCUGUAUUUGGUUUCGACAGGUCAUUGAAAGAGGAGAUUGCAAGUACUUAACGUACUCUGGGAAGUUAAAAAGCGAGUACAAAUUAAAAAUAAACGCUAACGAAGAAUUAGUAGCUGCCUAGUCAAUUGGGCACGUCACCUAAAGAAGUCUACUGGCUUUAGAAUGGCGUCAUUAAAGUAGAUAUAACAUUAUGAAGUAAUCUUGGUAAUAAUGUGGAAACAAGUUAAAAGAUACGCUUUAUAAACUUUUGUUAAUUGUAGGAUGUAAAGUAAGGGUAAACAAUUAAAUAAACUUGUAGAUAUUGAUUUAGAAGAUGGUUUGGACAGGGGUUCGACUCCCCUCAGCUCCACCA